Molecule: long non-coding RNA, 975 nt
Filed under: Numida meleagris (helmeted guineafowl)
Lineage: Eukaryota; Metazoa; Chordata; Aves; Galliformes; Numididae
Description: lncRNA (ENSNMEG00000013985.1)
Source: RNAcentral
GUAACUUCUCUGUUUUUCUUGUUGUAGACAUUUCAGCAUGCUUUGGCAUUGUUUCCGUCUUGCUGAGUGAAUGCCAAAGCAUAGCUCUCUGUAACUGUAAAUUCAGAAGCGUGCAUUUUUUCUUUAGUUUGUCAGCCUUCCAAGGCAGGCCAACAUUGCCGUUCACAGCAGCAAAGCUUACCGGGCAGUAGAGAGCAACUGUUUGUAGGGCUGGGAGUAGAACAGCAGCAGUUUAACUGCUGGAAAGAACAUCACCAGCUGGGCUCUGAACUUAAGGACUACUGUCUGGACAAAUGAGCUGCAAACACUUUUUAUGUGUGUUUGUAUCCAGCGGAAAAAUGAUAGAUAUUCCUUCAGUAUCCUCAUGAAAUACAGGAUACUUGAAGUGAACAGAGACCUGAAACAGAUAGAAGCAUCAGGACUUGAAGGAAGGUUUCUGAAGUUCUGUGUAAGGACUGGACACAUUUCCUUGAUUUAUUUUUGCUGAAGAAGCUCUCCAGAGGUAACAGCCCCUGCAGAGAGGCAGUGGCGAGAACUGGGCAGUGGGGAGCUGUUUCCAAGCCCGAUUGUGUCCGGACCCCAGCUGCGGGGAGGAAGGAAAAGAGAUGAGCGCGGAUGGCAGAGCUGGCGGGUGAGCAUUCACUGCUGAUCCUUGUAGGGAGGAGGAGAGGACAGGCAGGACUCUGGCUUUAAUGGGGUCCAGACUACACUGUGCUGUGUCUAAUGAUGCAGAAAGUUACUGAGUAAGUAAAGCUAAGUCUGUAAGCAUUGAAUCUGCCAGAAAAGACAAAGCAAGUGGGAAGCAGCUGGUCAAAUCUUUUUGGUUUUUUUUUUCCCUUUUCUUUCUUAGUAUACCUUGCUUUGAGUUGUAGGCACUUCAAAAGUUAAUUAUUUUAGCUCUCUUUACAAAGCUUGCUGAAAGAUGUUUAUAAUCAGAUCCAUUUCAAACCUUCAGCCAACUGAGGGCCAUGAUAA